Musa acuminata AAA Group (dessert banana) is the source of this 1349-nucleotide RNA transcript. It is a transcript of the gene named serine/arginine-rich SC35-like splicing factor SCL28, with no coding region annotated. The transcript has 7 exons. Lineage: Eukaryota; Viridiplantae; Streptophyta; Magnoliopsida; Zingiberales; Musaceae. The record is from RefSeq and is a predicted model, not a curated record.
AAGAGCGCCUAAUCCUGUGCUUUUCUUUUGCUUCAUACUGCCUCAAUCGUAGGGUUUCUGGUCUCUGUUCCUUCUCUAAUGGGGCGACAUCGAAGCCGGAGCGUCAGCCCGCGGCGGUUCAGCCGGAGCCCUCCGCGCCGUAAGCGCUACGACGACCCCCGCGAACGCUUCCGCGGCGGCGGUGGUGGCGGCGGCGGACGGGACUACAGGGAUCGCCGCUCCUCCGGCCCCUCCGGCCUCCUCAUCCGGAACGUCGCCCUCGACGCUAGGUCGGAGGAUCUACGAAUGCCCUUUGAGCGCUUUGGCCCUGUGAAGGAUGUCUACCUUCCAAAAAAUUACUAUACAGGAGAGCCACGAGGCUUUGGAUUUGUCAAGUUCCGUUAUGCUGAAGAUGCUGCUGUAGCUAAGCAGCAUAUGAAUCAUCAGAUUAUUUGUGGGCGUGAGAUCUCAAUUGUAUACGCUGAAGAAAAUCGAAAAACUCCACAGGAAAUGCGUAUGAGUGCAAGGAUUAGUGAAAGAUACAUGGGAGGAAGCUACAGGAGACGAUCUCCACCGAGAUCUCCUGGUCGACGACGUCGCUCAUAUUCACGUUCACUUUCUCCACCAAGACGAGAGUCAAGGGAAGUUGAACUACUAUAUGUUGCUCAUGCAGAUCAUAAAAGUGAAAAGAGAUCCUAAAGUAUCAAGGGGUUAGUAAAGAGAAAAGAGAAAGAGACCCAAAUGUUAUUGGCUAGUUGAUUACCUUUUCUUGAAGCUAUUCAAGAAGCUUUUAUUAAUGCCCAUCUCCAUCAACAGUAAAUACAGAGAAACUACAAUCCAUAGUAUCUUUCUUUAAACAUUUUUUGUUACUUUUCUGGCAAUCUAAAGAUUGUUGCUUUGAUUUUGUAUACUAUCCAGUUAAGAAAGAAUCUAGAGCUUAAAAAGCCAAAAGAAAGAAUCAUGAUCUCCAGUGCAUAAAGCAAAAGAGGAAGUAUCAUGAUUUCCAGAGAAUGGGAGACCUUGAAAGUACACAUUGCUAGAGAGAGAGCAUUGUCUUGAUGGUGGUCAUAUACUUGUGUGGAAAGUAAUGAUAGUGUGCCCUAAGAAAGUUGAAGCAAAGAGCUUUGAAGUCAGCAGAUGCUGUUCGACCAACAAGUACACCAUUAAAGGCAUUAACUGAAACAUUUUUGGACAAAGUUUCAUAAUUUUGUUCCGAGAGUGAUAUACCACAGGGACCAUGACAGGAGUACACGUGAUGAUUACUACUCUCCGCCAAGAUCCAUCUCCCGAUCUCCUGAUGAUAGGGAUCAUGGGUUGCAUCAUCAGUCUUCGAGUCCCAAGGGCAAUGGACGAAGCCCAUCUAGGUCUCG